Molecule: non-coding RNA, 828 nt
Organism: Danio rerio (zebrafish)
Lineage: Eukaryota; Metazoa; Chordata; Actinopteri; Cypriniformes; Danionidae
Source: RefSeq, a predicted model, not a curated record
GAAUAAGAUGAUUGGCUAUUUUUGCAGUUCGUCAUAUAGGAGGCAGGGCUGUCGGAGAUAGCCGUCCUUUUAGGGCCAUAAUUGAGGCGGGCAGGACGGCAUGUGUGGGCGUGAUAGGGUGAUUGUGUCACAGAAAGCAAGAUUGACAGGAGUGACAGCUCCAUUUAUUGGCUGCUAGAGUCUAGUCAGCAAAAGGGCAUUCAGGGCCACCGACUGGCUCUGCUGGCGGCCUGAGCAGUCGGCGCCUGUAAUGCAUGAAGCCCUGGAGUCAUGGUAAAUAGCAUCUCUUGUGCUUCAGGAAUUUUAUCCAACAUGGAGGAUGAAGAGAUUUCUCCUGCUUCUCCAUAUGCAUGAGCAAAGCGGGGGGAGAAAACGUUGGCAAUGAAGGAAAGAAGUGCCAUGGCGGGGAGUCUAAUCAAGUGACAAACUGCUGAGCUGACUCAAAACACGAGCUGUUCAUCGGAGAUAGAUCAGGAGCGUCACGGUGGGUUCGGCUGGAUGAGUGAGUCAUUUUCUUCAAGUACGUUGGAAUGAACACUUCUCAAAUGGGUUAAAGUGAAAUGACUGGGGCCACCAGGAUCAAUAUAGUGUAGAUUUCAUGCCUGUCUAAUCACGGACACAAGAGAAGGUGCCAGUUUUCUUUCUCUAGUAUGUAAGUGUAUCUCUUUCUUAAGCAAUUCUGUAGUCAAGGCUAUUUGUGUUUCCAACAGAGACUUUGUGCUGGAUGGUUUUAAAUUGAAUCAGCAAGCUCAUAUAGAAAUAGAUUCAUUCAUUCCUUUAUCAGGGGUCGCAACUGCAAAAUGAACCGCCAAUUUAUCCAGCAUAUGU